This is a long non-coding RNA of Oncorhynchus keta (chum salmon), 789 nucleotides long. RefSeq lists it as uncharacterized. The transcript has 5 exons. NCBI's taxonomy places the organism in Eukaryota, Metazoa, Chordata, Actinopteri, Salmoniformes, Salmonidae. The record is from RefSeq and is a predicted model, not a curated record.
UAUACAUUGAGUCAAUGUGCAGGGGUACGAGGUAGUAAUGAGGCUAUAUACAUUGAGUCAAUGUGCAGGGGUACGAGGUAGUAAUGAGGCUAUAUACAUUGAGUCAAUGUGCAGGGGUACGAGGUAGUAAUGAGGCUAUAUACAUUGAGUCAAUGUGCAGGGGUACGAGGUAGUAAUUAGGCUAUAUACAUUGAGUCGAUGUGCAGGGGUACGAGGUAGUAAUGAGGCUAUAUACAUUGAGUCAAUGUGCAGGGGUACGAGGUAGUAAUGAGGCUAUAUACAUUGAGUCAAUGUGCAGGGGUACGAGGUAGUAAUGAGGCUAUAUACAUUGAGUCAAUGUGCAGGGGUACGAGGUAGUAAUGAGGCUAUAUACAUUGAGUCAAUGUGCAGGGGUACGAGGUAGUAAUGAGGCUAUAUACAUUGAGUCAAUGUGCAGGGGUACGAGGUAGUAAUGAGGCUAUAUACAUUGAGUCAAUGUGCAGGGGUACGAGGUAGUAAUGAGGCUAUAUACAUUGAGUCGAUGUGCAGGGGUACGAGGUAGUAAUUAGGCUAUAUACAUUGAGUCGAUGUGCAGGGGUACGAGGUAGUAAUGAGGCUACAUUGAGUCGAUGUGCAGGGGUACGAGGUAGUAAUGAGGCUAUAUACAUUGAGUCGAUGUGCAGGGGUACGAGGUAGUGGAGGUGGUUGAGGUAAUAUGUACAGAGCCUUCAGAAAGUUCACACUCCUUGACUUGUUCCACGUUUUGUUGUGUUGAAUUUGAAAUAUUACGUUUGUUUGUCACUGGCCACA